Molecule: ribosomal RNA, 253 nt
Filed under: uncultured bacterium
Lineage: Bacteria
Description: partial 16S ribosomal RNA
Rfam family: Bacterial small subunit ribosomal RNA
Source: RNAcentral
UACGUAGGGGGCUAGCGUUGUCCGGAAUCAUUGGGCGUAAAGCGCGCGUAGGCGGCCCUGUUAGUCCGCUGUAAAAGUCAAAGGCUCAACCUUUGAAUGCCGGUGGAUACUGCAGGGCUAGAGUCCGGAAGAGGCGAGUGGAACUCCUGGUGUAGCGGUGGAAUGCGCAGAUAUCAGGAAGAACACCAACGGCGAAGGCAGCUCGCUGGGACGGUACUGACGCUGAGACGCGAAAGCGUGGGGAGCGAACAGG